AUGUGCCACCAGCCAAGGAAGUUCAGCAAGUGCUCAAAAGCCCGCUCGCAGAGGGCCGGCCUGCAGUUCCCCGUGGGCCGCAUCCAUCGACACCUGAAGUCCAGGACAACCAGCCACGGGCACGUGGGCGCCACGGCCGCCGUAUAUAGCGCGGCCAUCCUGGAGUACCUCACGGCGGAGGUGCUUGAACUGGCAGGAAAUGCAUCCAAAGACCUGAAAGUAAAGCGCAUUAUCCCUCGACACUUGCAACUUGCCAUUCGUGGGGAUGAAGAAUUGGACUCGCUCAUCAAAGCUACAAUUGCGGGAGGUGGUGUCAUCCCACAUAUCCACAAGUCUCUGAUUGGGAAGAAAGGACAACAGAAGACUGUGUAAAGGAUGCCU
Octodon degus (degu) is the source of this 381-nucleotide RNA transcript. It is a transcript of the gene named histone H2A.Z pseudogene, with no coding region annotated. The transcript is spliced from 2 exons. Lineage: Eukaryota; Metazoa; Chordata; Mammalia; Rodentia; Octodontidae. The record is from RefSeq and is a predicted model, not a curated record.